RNAcentral lists this small RNA (86 nucleotides) under Rhizobium leguminosarum. Its description in RNAcentral is "microRNA MIR1846". Lineage: Bacteria; Pseudomonadati; Pseudomonadota; Alphaproteobacteria; Hyphomicrobiales; Rhizobiaceae. The record is from RNAcentral.
UCGGGCCACCUUCUCCCCGGUGGGGAGAAGGGGAUGGAGAGGUUGCGGCAUGUUCCCUUCUCCCCACCGGGGAGAAGGUGCCGGCA